UACGAAGGACCCAAGCGUUAUCCGGAUUUAUUGGGUUUAAAGGGUGCGUAGGCGGGUUGUUAAGUCAGUGGUGAAAGCUCCGAGCCUAACUCGGAAACUGCCAUUGAUACUGACGAUCUUGAGUACAUUUGAGGUGGGCGGAAUGUGUCAUGUAGCGGUGAAAUGCUUAGAUAUGACACAGAACACCGAUUGCGAAGGCAGCUCACUAAACUGUAACUGACGCUGAGGCACGAAAGCGUGGGGAGCAAACAGG
This 253-nucleotide ribosomal RNA is filed under the name uncultured bacterium. Its description in RNAcentral is "partial 16S ribosomal RNA". It matches the Rfam family "Bacterial small subunit ribosomal RNA", at positions 524 to 776 of the family's 1533-position model. The record is from RNAcentral.